RNAcentral lists this non-coding RNA (30 nucleotides) under Homo sapiens (human). The record is from RNAcentral. Lineage: Eukaryota; Metazoa; Chordata; Mammalia; Primates; Hominidae.
UGCAUGACAGAGUGAGGCCCUGUCUCCAAA